GUGGAUUGAGAUAUCUAUUUAUAUCUCUAUAUUAAUUUUGGCUAAAUUACAUAAAACACCCCUGUCAAAACCAGAUUUUUCACUUUCCCCCCUUGUCAUUUAAAAACCUACACUUUGCUCCCUUGUAAAAUAAAAAAUGUUCACAAGGGGGGUACGGUGUAUAAAAUGACCAUUUUGCCUCUCACCAUUUUCGUCUCCUCCCUUAUCUUCCUCAACCGCCGCCUCGAUCGGCCGCGAUUCACACCUCGAUUGGCUGCGAUUUCUCUCCAUUUUCUUCUCCACCUACUCCCCUUCUUCUCCUGCACCCUCGCCGCCCCUCAAUUUCGGCGACAAUAGGGAGGAAAUCGAGGUGGGCGCUGAUGGAGAGGUAGGCAAGGGCAACGAGGGCGAAGGCGAGGCGGCGGAGAAGGGCGAAAGGGAUGUAGGCGAGGGCUAGGACGAGGGCGAGGCCGAGGCAGUGGAGGAGGGCGAGGCGGCGGCGAAGCGGCGAGCCAGAGGGAGGCGAAGCAACAGGGAAGAGGGCGGAAGGGUAUUUUUGGUAUAAAAAAAUAUUUUAUAAUGGAAUCCUAACGGAUCACUAACGGUAGGGACUGAAGUGCACAUUUUUAUUUUACAAGGGACAAAGUGUAGGUUUUUAAAUGACAAGAGAGAAAAGUGAAAAAUCGAAUUUUGAUAGGGGGUUUUCUGUAAUUCAGCCUAAAUAUUUAAUAAAAAUUGUUGCGUGAUAUUUUUUUCUUUACUUU
Molecule: long non-coding RNA, 743 nt
Filed under: Ananas comosus (pineapple)
Lineage: Eukaryota; Viridiplantae; Streptophyta; Magnoliopsida; Poales; Bromeliaceae
Description: long non-coding RNA (ACOM_LNC003002)
Source: RNAcentral